GUGUGUGUGUGUGUGUGUGUGUGUGUGUGUGUGUGUGUGUGUGUGUGUGUGUGUGUGUGUGUGGUCAAGUACAUGUAAUCUGCAUACCCCCCUCUACAAACGAUAUGAUGGAUCAGCCUAACGUUAUGUCUCCUGUUGUUUAUUAAGAAGUAGAAUGUCAUGAAACUCAUCUGUUGAUGUCAUUGUGCUGCUGAAUGCCAAUACACACAACACUUUGUUUUGCAUGUGUGUGUGUCCGAUGUUUUUUUUGUACACAGCCGUCAUCGUGCAGUUCAUGUUUGUGCAGCUUCCUUGUUUUGCCCUGCAAGACAUUAUCGCCUCAUCGUUGUUCAGCCAGGAUUCUCUGUGCCCUCCCUCCUGUUUUUUUCUAACCUGUGUCUUAUCCUGCGGGGUAUGUGUGAUGGUGUGUGUGUGUGUGUGUAGCCGGGCCAGGAGGAGACGGAGGAGAGUUUGAGAACGAUCACAUUAGGUGCUGGCGACCGGCAAGUCAUCCAGACUCCCAUCGAUGACGCACUUCCUGUCAGCGGCAGCACCGUGGCGCAGCUCUUCAGACAGCUCGGCAUCGUGAACGUUUUGUAUCUGUUCUGCGCCGCGCUGACGGAGCAUAAGAUCCUGUUUCUGUC
Long non-coding RNA from Notothenia coriiceps (black rockcod), 623 nucleotides. RefSeq lists it as uncharacterized. The transcript has 3 exons. The record is from RefSeq and is a predicted model, not a curated record. NCBI's taxonomy places the organism in Eukaryota, Metazoa, Chordata, Actinopteri, Perciformes, Nototheniidae.